This 319-nucleotide ribosomal RNA is filed under the name uncultured cyanobacterium. Its description in RNAcentral is "bacterial SSU rRNA". It matches the Rfam family "Bacterial small subunit ribosomal RNA", at positions 476 to 794 of the family's 1533-position model. The record is from RNAcentral. Lineage: Bacteria; Bacillati; Cyanobacteriota.
UACCUGAAGAAUAAGCAUCGGCUAACUCCGUGCCAGCAGCCGCGGUAAGACGGAGGAUGCAAGUGUUAUCCGGAAUUACUGGGCGUAAAGCGUCUGUAGGUGGUUUAAUAAGUCAACUGUUAAAUCUUGAGGCUUAACUUCAAAACAGCAGUCGAAACUAUUAGACUAGAGUAUAGUAGGGGUAAAGGGAAUUUCCAGUGGAGCGGUGAAAUGCGUAGAUAUUGGAAAGAACACCGAUGGCGAAAGCACUUUACUGGGCUAUUACUAACACUCAGAGACGAAAGCUAGGGUAGCAAAUGGGAUUAGAUACCCCAGUAGU